RNAcentral lists this long non-coding RNA (206 nucleotides) under Mytilus galloprovincialis (Mediterranean mussel). The record is from RNAcentral. Lineage: Eukaryota; Metazoa; Mollusca; Bivalvia; Mytilida; Mytilidae.
UUUUUUUUUCUCUCAAACCCACCUCAGUUUGGUUGAGGGGACUACUUGUUUUCAUUAUCUGAAAUAAGGAAUUCGUGAUGCAGUUUGUUACUAUUUCAUGGAUAUUGAAACUAAUGUUGUACUAGUUUAUCAAACAAAUAAGUACAAACAAUGUAAAAGAGAUGUGUAAUUUAGAUAAAUUCAUAUUUGGAUCUUUUAAUUUGAAC